GCCGAUGAUGGUUCCUUGAGCCAAACAGGUAAGGGUGAAAAGGCGAGGUAAGAGCUCACCAGCGACGAAGUGAUUUGUCGGCUUUGGUAAACCUUGCGGGUUGCAAGAUCGCAUAGUCUGGCAUUUGAGGAUGGCCCGUCCAAGUCAGUGGGUUGAUUGCAUAGAUAAAUGAUGAAGCGUCCCUUGGGAUGAACAGAAUCCGGCUUAUCAUUCUAAUUUCCUU
Molecule: RNase P RNA, 223 nt
Filed under: Crocinitomicaceae bacterium
Lineage: Bacteria; Pseudomonadati; Bacteroidota; Flavobacteriia; Flavobacteriales; Crocinitomicaceae
Description: partial RNase P RNA component class A
Rfam family: Bacterial RNase P class A
About the family: Ribonuclease P (RNase P) is a ubiquitous endoribonuclease, found in archaea, bacteria and eukarya as well as chloroplasts and mitochondria. Its best characterised activity is the generation of mature 5'-ends of tRNAs by cleaving the 5'-leader elements of precursor-tRNAs. Cellular RNase Ps are ribonucleoproteins.
Source: RNAcentral